GAUGAACGCUGGCGGCGUGCCUAAUACAUGCAAGUCGAGCGAACAGACGAGUAUCUUGCUCCUCGGACGUUAGCGGCGGACGGGAGAGUAACACGUGGAUAACCUACCUAUAAGACUGGUAUAACUUCGUGAAACCGGUGCUAAUACCGGAUAAUAUCUUGAACCGCAUGGUUCAAUAGUUAAAGACGGUUUUGCUGUCACGUAUUGAUGUAUUCGCGCCGCAUCAGCUAUUUGGUAAGGUAGCGGCUUACCAAGGCAGCGAUGCGUAGCCGACCAGAGAGAGCGAGCGGCCGCACUGGGACCGAGAGGCGGCCCAGACACGGACGGGUGGCAGAAGGGGGGAAUAUUGCACGAUGAGCGGAAGCCGGAUGCAGCAAGGCCGCGGGCGGGAAGACGGCGUUCGGGUGGGAAACCGAAUUCAGCAGGGACGAAGCAUGUGUUGACGGUACCUGAAGAAGAAGCACCGGCUAACUACGUG
Molecule: ribosomal RNA, 478 nt
Filed under: uncultured bacterium
Lineage: Bacteria
Description: partial 16S ribosomal RNA
Rfam family: Bacterial small subunit ribosomal RNA
Source: RNAcentral